This 321-nucleotide long non-coding RNA is filed under the name Elaeis guineensis (African oil palm). Its description in RNAcentral is "long non-coding RNA (EGUI_LNC001113)". Lineage: Eukaryota; Viridiplantae; Streptophyta; Magnoliopsida; Arecales; Arecaceae. The record is from RNAcentral.
AGGAGUCCGGGCGCAGUCUGUCUGCAGCCGUUGGAGUAGGGGACGAAGUUCGGCUCCCGUAGGAGUCCGGGCGGAGUCUCCCUGCAAUCAAAGUUAAAGGUGAAGUCCGGCUCCUGUAGGAGUCCGGACGAGGCUCACCAGCAGUUGACGUUGAGGUCGAAGCCCGGCUCCCGUAAGAGUCCGGGCGGAGUACAUUUGUUGCUGAAGUUGUCGGCGGAGCUCGGCUCCCUUAGGAGUCCGGGUGGAGGCUUCUUUUGAGGUUGGCCUUGUUGACGGAGCCGUCGAUUCUGUGGAGGACUUCGGCUGGGGAUAUUUUAUACC